AAGGCUAUACUUUCAGGGAUCAUUUCUAUAGUUCAUCACCAGGGAAGUUCUCUGAACAUGUAGAACACCGGGACAAGAAAUAGAUCAGAGGAGAACUGA
RNAcentral lists this small nucleolar RNA (99 nucleotides) under Chlorocebus sabaeus (green monkey). RNAcentral describes it as "Small nucleolar RNA U3". It matches the Rfam family "Small nucleolar RNA U3". Rfam says of the family: Small nucleolar RNAs (snoRNAs) are involved in the processing and modification of rRNA in the nucleolus. Lineage: Eukaryota; Metazoa; Chordata; Mammalia; Primates; Cercopithecidae. The record is from Rfam by way of RNAcentral.